UGACACGUAGGCACCAAGCGUUGUCCGGAUUUAUUGGGCGUAAAGAGCUCGUAGGCGGUUCAGUAAGUCAGGUGUGAAAUCUUUGGGCUUAACCCAAAGCGUGCACUUGAUACUGCUGUGACUUGAGUUCGGUAGGGGAGUGGGGAAUUCCUAGUGUAGCGGUGAAAUGCGCAGAUAUUAGGAGGAACACCGGUGGCGAAGGCGCCACUCUGGGCCGAAACUGACGCUGAGGAGCGAAAGCGUGGGUAGCAAACAGGAUUAGAUACCCUGGUAGUCCACGCCGUAAACGUUGGGCACUAGGUGUGGGUUUCAACCAACGGAAUCCGCGCCGUCGCUAACGCAUUAAGUGCCCCGCCUGGGGAGUACGGCCGCAAGGCUA
Molecule: ribosomal RNA, 379 nt
Filed under: uncultured bacterium
Lineage: Bacteria
Description: bacterial SSU rRNA
Rfam family: Bacterial small subunit ribosomal RNA
Source: RNAcentral